CGAGCCUUGUGGAUAAGGGAGAACUGUGGAUGUGAUACCUGGACUUUAUAAGCAUAUUGCAUCGUCUCACAUGAUGAUUCUUAUCGAUAAACAAGGCAAAUACCAUUAGAUGGGACUACUAUAAGGUGGGGGUGUAUCUGGCUGG
This is a non-coding RNA of Chelonoidis abingdonii (Abingdon island giant tortoise), 145 nucleotides long. NCBI's taxonomy places the organism in Eukaryota, Metazoa, Chordata, Testudines, Testudinidae. The record is from RefSeq and is a predicted model, not a curated record.